This 1433-nucleotide ribosomal RNA is filed under the name uncultured organism. Its description in RNAcentral is "SSU rRNA". It matches the Rfam family "Bacterial small subunit ribosomal RNA". The record is from RNAcentral.
AACACAUGCAAGUCGAGGGGCAUCAGGACUUAAGCUUGCUUUCUUUGCUGGCGACCGGCGCACGGGUGAGUAACACGUAUCCAACCUGCCCUUUACUCGGGGAUAGCCUUUCGAAAGAAAGAUUAAUACCCGAUAGCAUAAUGAUUCCGCAUGGUUUCAUUAUUAAAGGAUUCCGGUAAAGGAUGGGGAUGCGUUCCAUUAGGUUGUUGGUGGGGUAACGGCCCACCAAGCCUUCGAUGGAUAGGGGUUCUGAGAGGAAGGUCCCCCACAUUGGAACUGAGACACGGUCCGAACUCCUACGGGAGGCAGCAGUGAGGAAUAUUGGUCAAUGGGCGCUAGCCUGAACCAGCCAAGUAGCGUGAAGGAUGAAGGCUCUAUGGGUCGUAAACUUCUUUUAUAUAAGAAUAAAGUGCAGUAUGUAUACUGUUUUGUAUGUAUUAUAUGAAUAAGGAUCGGCUAACUCCGUGCCAGCAGCCGCGGUAAUACGGAGGAUCCGAGCGUUAUCCGGAUUUAUUGGGUUUAAAGGGAGCGUAGGUGGACUGGUAAGUCAGUUGUGAAAGUUUGCGGCUCAACCGUAAAAUUGCAGUUGAUACUGUCGGUCUUGAGUACAGUAGAGGUGGGCGGAAUUCGUGGUGUAGCGGUGAAAUGCUUAGAUAUCACGAAGAACUCCGAUUGCGAAGGCAGCUCACUGGACUGCAACUGACACUGAUGCUCGAAAGUGUGGGUAUCAAACAGGAUUAGAUACCCUGGUAGUCCACACAGUAAACGAUGAAUACUCGCUGUUUGCGAUAUACAGUAAGCGGCCAAGCGAAAGCAUUAAGUAUUCCACCUGGGGAGUACGCCGGCAACGGUGAAACUCAAAGGAAUUGACGGGGGCCCGCACAAGCGGAGGAACAUGUGGUUUAAUUCGAUGAUACGCGAGGAACCUUACCCGGGCUUAAAUUGCAGUGGAAUGAUGUGGAAACAUGUCAGUGAGCAAUCACCGCUGUGAAGGUGCUGCAUGGUUGUCGUCAGCUCGUGCCGUGAGGUGUCGGCUUAAGUGCCAUAACGAGCGCAACCCUUAUCUUUAGUUACUAACAGGUCAUGCUGAGGACUCUAGAGAGACUGCCGUCGUAAGAUGUGAGGAAGGUGGGGAUGACGUCAAAUCAGCACGGCCCUUACGUCCGGGGCUACACACGUGUUACAAUGGGGGGUACAGAAGGCAGCUAGCGGGUGACCGUAUGCUAAUCCCAAAAGCCUCUCUCAGUUCGGAUCGAAGUCUGCAACCCGACUUCGUGAAGCUGGAUUCGCUAGUAAUCGCGCAUCAGCCACGGCGCGGUGAAUACGUUCCCGGGCCUUGUACACACCGCCCGUCAAGCCACGGGAGCCGGGGGUACCUGAAGUACGUAACAGCAAGGAUCGUCCUAGGGUAAAACUGGUGACUGGGGCUAAGA